RNAcentral lists this ribosomal RNA (549 nucleotides) under Triticum aestivum (bread wheat). RNAcentral's name for it is "partial small subunit ribosomal RNA". Lineage: Eukaryota; Viridiplantae; Streptophyta; Magnoliopsida; Poales; Poaceae. The record is from RNAcentral.
AUGGAAGAUUGCAAAUCGAAGAGGUCUUCAGCACCUAAUGGACAGAAUCAACAACAACCAUCUCUAGGAUGGAUCCCACGUCGGCUCGGAUCUGUGAAGAUAAGAGUAGAUGGUGCAGUUUCAAGGAACCAAAACGAAGGAUCGUUCAGCACGGUCUGUAGGGAUGCCUCGGGUCUUUACUUGGGUUCUUCCGCAAUCAGAGUCAGAGACGUCACUGAUCCACCAACCUUGGAAGCAUUGGCAUGUCGAGAAGCGCUUGCUCUGGCCACGGACCUUUGUCUAUCACAUGUAAUCAUCGCCUCAGAUUGCCAAGGUGUUGUCAAGGAUAUUCACAAACAGGAGGGAGGGUUGUAUGCAAGCAUAGUAAGGAAAAUUGUAGACACUGCAAGAACAAUCAACGACUGCACCUUCAUCUUCGAGGGUAGAGCUACAAAUAUUGAUGCACAUAGCCUCGCUAAGCACGCUUUCGGUCUGGACUUUGGGUGCCAUGUGUGGCUUAUAAACCCGCCAGAUCUUCGAUGUAUCCCCAUGAAUAUCUCUGAGUUCUAA